This 518-nucleotide ribosomal RNA is filed under the name uncultured delta proteobacterium. RNAcentral describes it as "bacterial SSU rRNA". It matches the Rfam family "Bacterial small subunit ribosomal RNA", at positions 29 to 523 of the family's 1533-position model. The record is from RNAcentral. Lineage: Bacteria; Deltaproteobacteria.
AACGAACGUUAGCGGCGCGCUUAACACAUGCAAGUCGAGCGAGAAAGGGCUUUCGGCCCCGGUAAAGCGGCGCACGGGUGAGUAACACGUAGGUAAUCUGCCCCCAGGUGGUGGAUAACGUUCCGAAAGGAGCGCUAAUACAGCAUGAGACCACGUCCUCGAAAGGGGGAAGGGGGGUCAAAGCCGGCCUCUUCAUGAAAGCUGGUGCCAGGGGAUGAGCCUGCGGCCCAUCAGCUAGUUGGUAGGGUAAUAGCCUACCAAGGCGAAGACGGGUAGCUGGUCUGAGAGGAUGAUCAGCCACACUGGAACUGAGACACGGUCCAGACUCCUACGGAGGCAGCAGUGGGGAAUCUUGCGCAAUGGGCGAAAGCCUGACGCAGCGACGCCGCGUGAGUGAUGAAGGCCUUCGGGUUGUAAAGCUCUGUGGGGGGGGACGAAUAAGGGUUGGCUAACAUUCAACCUGAUGACGGUACCCCUUUAGCAAGCACCGGCUAACUCUGUGCCAGCAGCCGCGGUAA